UACAGAGGUCCCAAGCGUUGUUCGGAUUCACUGGGCGUAAAGCGCACGUAGGCGGACUCGUAGGUCAAUUGUGAAAUACCUGGGCUCAACCCGGGAACUGCAGUUGAAACCGCUUGUCUUGAAUACCUGAGAGGGUGGGGGAAUACCUGGUGGAGAAGUGAAAUUCGUAGAGAUCAGGUGGAACACCGGAGGCGAAGGCGCCUGCCUGGCAGUGUAUUGACGCUGAGGUGCGAAAGUGCGGGGAGCAAACAGG
RNAcentral lists this ribosomal RNA (253 nucleotides) under uncultured bacterium. Its description in RNAcentral is "partial 16S ribosomal RNA". It matches the Rfam family "Bacterial small subunit ribosomal RNA", at positions 524 to 776 of the family's 1533-position model. The record is from RNAcentral.